This 65-nucleotide transfer RNA is filed under the name Melolontha hippocastani. Its description in RNAcentral is "tRNA-Asp". Lineage: Eukaryota; Metazoa; Arthropoda; Insecta; Coleoptera; Scarabaeidae. The record is from RNAcentral.
AAGAACUUAGUUAAAUACCAUAACAUUAAUUUGUCAAGUUAAAAUUAUCUAAAAGAUAGCUCUUA